AUCCAACCCAAUGUGAACGUUACCAAACUGUUGCCUCGGCGGGAUCUCUGCCCCGGGUGCGUCGCAGCCCCGGACCAAGGCGCCCGCCGGAGGACCAACCAAAACUCUUUUUGUAUACCCCCUCGCGGGUUUUUUAUAAUCUGAGCCUUCUCGGCGCCUCUCGUAGGCGUUUCGAAAAUGAAUCAAAACUUUCAACAACGGAUCUCUUGGUUCUGGCAUCGAUGAAGAACGCAGCGAAAUGCGAUAAGUAAUGUGAAUUGCAGAAUUCAGUGAAUCAUCGAAUCUUUGAACGCACAUUGCGCCCGCCAGUAUUCUGGCGGGCAUGCCUGUCCGAGCGUCAUUUCAACCCUCGAACCCCUCCGGGGGGUCGGCGUUGGGGAUCGGCCCUCCCUUAGCGGGUGGCCGUCUCCGAAAUACAGUGGCGGUCUCGCCGCAGCCUCUCCUGCGCAGUAGUUUGCACACUCGCAUCGGGAGCGCGGCGCGUCCACAGCCGUUAAACACCCAACUUCUGAAAUGUUGACCUCGGAUCAGGUAGGAAUACCCGCUGAACUUAAGCAUGUGGAGGGGGGGGGAGGAAGG
This 579-nucleotide ribosomal RNA is filed under the name Trichoderma harzianum. RNAcentral describes it as "eukaryotic LSU rRNA". The stretch from base 187 to 340 matches the Rfam family "5.8S ribosomal RNA". Lineage: Eukaryota; Fungi; Ascomycota; Sordariomycetes; Hypocreales; Hypocreaceae. The record is from RNAcentral.